This 485-nucleotide ribosomal RNA is filed under the name uncultured bacterium. RNAcentral's name for it is "bacterial SSU rRNA". It matches the Rfam family "Bacterial small subunit ribosomal RNA", at positions 28 to 526 of the family's 1533-position model. The record is from RNAcentral.
GACGAACGCUGGCGGCGUGCUUAACACAUGCAAGUCGAACGAUGAAGCCCAGCUUGCUGGGUGGAUUAGUGGCGAACGGGUGAGUAACACGUGGGUGAUCUGCCCUGCACUUCGGGAUAAGCCUGGGAAACUGGGUCUAAUACCGGAUAUGACCAAGGACUGCAUGGUUUUUGGUGGAAAGGUUUACUGGUGCAGGAUGAGCCCGCGGCCUAUCAGCUUGUUGGUGGGGUAAUGGCCUACCAAGGCGACGACGGGUAGCCGGCCUGAGAGGGGGACCGGCCACACUGGGACUGAGACACGGCCCAGACUCCUACGGGAGGCAGCAGUGGGGAAUAUUGCACAAUGGGCGAAAGCCUGAUGCAGCGACGCCGCGUGAGGGAUGACGGCCUUCGGGUUGUAAACCUCUUUCAGCAGGGACGAAGCGCAAGUGACGGUACCUGCAGAAGAAGCACCGGCCAACUACGUGCCAGCAGCCGCCGUAAGAC